GAUGAACGCUGGCGGCGUGCCUAAUACAUGCAAGUAGAACGCUGAAGCUUGGUGCUUGCACCGAGCGGAUGAGUUGCGAACGGGUGAGUAACGCGUAGGUAACCUGCCUCUUAGCGGGGGAUAACUAUUGGAAACGAUAGCUAAUACCGCAUAAAAGUCGAUAUCGCAUGAUAUUGAUUUGAAAGGUGCAAUUGCAUCACUAAGAGAUGGACCUGCGUUGUAUUAGCUAGUUGGUGAGGUAACGGCUCACCAAGGCGACGAUACAUAGCCGACCUGAGAGGGUGAUCGGCCACACUGGGACUGAGACACGGCCCAGACUCCUACGGGAGGCAGCAGUAGGGAAUCUUCGGCAAUGGGGGCAACCCUGACCGAGCAACGCCGCGUGAGUGAAGAAGGUUUUCGGAUCGUAAAGCUCUGUUGUAAGAGAAGAACGAGUGUGAGAGUGGAAAGUUCACACUGUGACGGUAACCUACCAGAAAGGGACGGCUACUACA
Molecule: ribosomal RNA, 494 nt
Filed under: Streptococcus parasanguinis
Lineage: Bacteria; Bacillati; Bacillota; Bacilli; Lactobacillales; Streptococcaceae
Description: bacterial SSU rRNA
Rfam family: Bacterial small subunit ribosomal RNA
Source: RNAcentral